Non-coding RNA from Anas platyrhynchos (mallard), 2285 nucleotides. NCBI's taxonomy places the organism in Eukaryota, Metazoa, Chordata, Aves, Anseriformes, Anatidae. The record is from RefSeq and is a predicted model, not a curated record.
AUCACUCUUUCUGUCUUAUAUAUAAAUUUUAUGAGCCAAUUGGUGGCAGAAAUACUUCUGCAAAGUCGAACUGUUAUUUCACACAGGCUUAGCCAUCCAUUUCCAAGUGCAGCUCCUCAGUGCCAUGCUGGACCGACACUCAGGAUGUCAACAGAGAGAGCUCACUUGCUCUGAACCGUGAAUUGAGGAACAACUUUUUCAUAAGGUGGAUAACAAAACACCCGCAUUUUGCCUGUAAAAACCUCUGUUGCUGGCAGUUUGGAAGACCAGAUCCCUGCAGGUAGAUUUACUGCGUGUGAGGCUGUUUGAAUGGGAGGGAGGCCCCAGCAAGGGUCUGUUCAAUUCAAUAUGCAUUCAUAAUGUACGGCGGAAGGCUUGCCAGCAGACCUGGGCCAAGAUCAGACGUUCCUCCAGUCCUGCCUCACACCUUUUUUUUGGGUAUCUACUGCACAGUGCCAUGAAAAAGGUCGCGUGCCAGGGCACGAGCAGGAAAAGGGCCGUGACAUUUCAGAGAUGAGUGCGUGAAGCACAACCCUCCCCUCACACAUGGUCUGCGUGGUUGCUGGUGUUUACCAGAGCUGCAGGUCCUGUCCCACCAGAAGAACCCCAAGAUAUAGCAAAGAGGGUUUUUAUUCCUUGAGAGGCUGCAUUUGGGAACUCAUUUUGGAGUUAGGGUAGGGCCCGAUGCGUGCUUGCAGCUGCACCACGCUGGGCACAGCUCACCCUGCUGCUGCCUGCCUCCUGCGCUGGCUGAGCAGUUCCCUGGGUUUGCCAUCAGUAACCUUCAGCCUGGUGGGGAAGAAAAGGGAAGAGCUCUGUCCAAGGCUCAGCAGGUUGUGAAAAGAGUAAGGAAAAGGUGCAGAAACUGCUUGGGGGAGUGAACAGGAGGCAGAACUGGAACCAGGAACCUGCAGCCUCUCUGGCUGCAGUGGACAUUGGACUGGGCUGUAUUUAUACACCAGAGUCUGGUUUCACUCAGCAUCCUGUGCUGAUCUAGCAGGCUCUAAACACCAUCUAAGAUGAUGGGAAUACGCCAGAGGCUGCCCACACCUCCUGCCCUUGCCUGGGGGCCAGGACCGUCUCCAUCUCCUGUCCCUCUGGCUCCCUCCCCCACCAGCAUGGAUGCCCACGGUGCAGAUGGCUGUCUGGAAGCGUAAUGACAUUUACCAAAGGGGACCAGAAAUGAUCACUGAGGGACUGCAAAUAAUGAAGCCAAUUCCUUUUAUUGACACACGUGGAAGCUGUUUAAUUUCGGAUGUUGGCUGUCAGAAAAUAGAGCUCUUCUGCGGAGGUUUUCUCAGGGAAGCAAUAUUGCGCUUGGUGUCAAGGUUUGUGCUCGCAUUUAAAAGCGAGAUAUCCUCAGCUCUUAGAUUUGAAGCUUCUUCAUGACUCUAACCUAUCACUUACACAUUCAACAUGCAUCUAAGAGCCUGAUCUGUCUCUGCUUGCAGACUACAAUGAUUUUUUGCCAAGGAUUUCUUGCUGAGAAAGACGAGAUACCAAAUAACAUGCACAUUUUCAUUCAUUCCCUCUGAAAAUGCAGCUGUAAGCCUAGCACUCAAGCUGGGCACUCGGUUGCCUUUCAGCCCCUGAUUUCUGCUUUAGGCAUUCUGCUUUUCCAUUUGGGUCACAAAACUCGGUGUUCUUGGGGUUCCUCAUGUGCUCUAAGGAGCUGUGACCUUUGCCACCACGCUGUGCAGUGAGCCAGGAGGAGCAAUGUGCCUCACAGAGGGUGAACCUAAAGCUGAGCAUCGCAGACUUGAGGACCAGGGAAACACCUCUUGUUAGGAGGGGCUGCAGGUGCAAUUUCCCCCUUGCCUGCCUUUGGUGAAUCCUGCCUCCAUCAGCUUCCCUGGCCUUGUCCUGGGCAAGCACCAGCAUUAUUUGCUCCCUGAAGCUUGUGAGUGUGGGGUACCACGCAGCUACGCCGGCUGUCUCAAACUCCCACAAGAUCCUAGAGAGUCCCCAGCACCCCAAAAACAGCGUCACAAGACCAGGAGGUGCAGCAGAGGAGGUUUGGGUGCCCACCAGGGCUGAGAGGUGUCACUUGGCAUCCACGCCUUCCUGUUGGGAACUGGAAAAGAAGGAUUUAAUGGUUAUUUUUGCAAGCAUUAAUGUGUGGGGAGGGAGAAUGGUGGGCACUAUUUUUCUGGGAGGGGGGAAUCUCUUCUAAAUGCCUCUGCAGCCUGGCAGCGCAGCCUGGCCCAGCCACCCCUGGGACUGCAGCCCCCAAAGGGGCUUUAAUAGCAGCCUCCUCUCCGAGGACACAUGCAUUAGGGCUUAUA